RNAcentral lists this ribosomal RNA (503 nucleotides) under uncultured bacterium. RNAcentral describes it as "partial 16S ribosomal RNA". It matches the Rfam family "Bacterial small subunit ribosomal RNA", at positions 28 to 523 of the family's 1533-position model. The record is from RNAcentral.
GAUGAACGCUAGCGGCAGGCUUAAUACAUGCAAGUCGAGGGGCAGCAGUUUUGUAGCAAUACAGAAGCUGGCGACCGGCAAACGGGUGCGGAACACGUACGCAACCUUCCUUUAACUGGGAGAUAGCCCACCGAAAGGUGGAUUAAUAUCCCAUAAUUUAACUGAAUGGCAUCAUUUAGAUAUUAAAGCUCCGGCGGUUAAAGGUGGGCGUGCGUCUGAUUAGGUAGUUGGCGGGGUAACGGCCCACCAAGCCUUCGAUCAGUAGCUGAUGUGAGAGCAUGAUCAGCCACACGGGCACUGAGACACGGGCCCGACUCCUACGGGAGGCAGCAGUAAGGAAUAUUGGUCAAUGGACGCAAGUCUGAACCAGCCAUGCCGCGUGGAGGAUGAAGGCCCUCUGGGUUGUAAACUUCUUUUCUUUGGGACGAAACCCCUGUUUCUACGGGGACUGACGGUACCAGAGGAAUAAGCACCGGCUAACUCCGUGCCAGCCGCCGCAGUAA